ACUCCUACGGGAGGCAGCAGUGGGGAAUUUUGGACAAUGGGGGCAACCCUGAUCCAGCAAUGCCGCGUGUGUGAAGAAGGCCUUCGGGUUGUAAAGCACUUUUGUCCGGAAAGAAAUCGCUCUGGCUAAUACCUGGGGUGGAUGACGGUACCGGAAGAAUAAGCACCGGCUAACUACGUGCCAGCAGCCGCGGUAAUACGUAGGGUGCGAGCGUUAAUCGGAAUUACUGGGCGUAAAGCGUGCGCAGGCGGUUUUGUAAGACAGGCGUGAAAUCCCCGGGCUCAACCUGGGAAUUGCGCUUGUGACUGCAAGGCUAGAGUGCGUCAGAGGGGGGUAGAAUUCCACGUGUAGCAGUGAAAUGCGUAGAGAUGUGGAGGAAUACCGAUGGCGAAGGCAGCCCCCUGGGACGUGACUGACGCUCAUGCACGAAAGCGUGGGGAGCAAACAGGAUUAGAUACCCUGGUAGUCCACGCCCUAAACGAUGUCAACUAGUUGUUGGGGAUUCAUUUCUUCAGUAACGUAGCUAACGCGUGAAGUUGACCGCCUGGGGAGUACGGUCGCAAGAUUAAAACUGAAAGGAAUUGACGG
Molecule: ribosomal RNA, 588 nt
Filed under: uncultured bacterium
Lineage: Bacteria
Description: bacterial SSU rRNA
Rfam family: Bacterial small subunit ribosomal RNA
Source: RNAcentral